This 261-nucleotide long non-coding RNA is filed under the name Elaeis guineensis (African oil palm). Its description in RNAcentral is "long non-coding RNA (EGUI_LNC066420)". Lineage: Eukaryota; Viridiplantae; Streptophyta; Magnoliopsida; Arecales; Arecaceae. The record is from RNAcentral.
UGGUGUGAGUGGUUCUUUGAUCUGCGAUGUCAUCAACUAUUCACAGCGAGGCUACUGAGUUUGACUGCAUAUAUUUUUGAUCCCUAGCCAUUCGGAUCCUUGAUAUGUAUGUUGGUUACAGUAGGUUUAAUUUGCUAUUUAGAGUAGGAUGUACCUACAUAAAAUCUAUCGAUCUUGGUAGAAAAGGAGAAGUCCUAUGUGAUUCGUGAGAUUGAGUUCAAAAAAUCUUUGACCAAAGUAAAUGAGAAUAAUAGAAAAGAG